UCAGUGUUUGCUUUUACUACGACUAGACGAGAUGACUAGUCAAGCACUUUUUUUUUUAAAAUUAUGGGUCAAACCGUGUGUAUACAAUCGCUCUAGUGUCCCUUCCUCUGUGUGAGAUCAGGUGCUGACAGAAGUGUCCAGAGAGAAGAAAUCAGACACAGGAGUGUGUUUUGUACGUGUGUGUUUUUAUAGCUCUAACCUCAUUGGGCUACACUGCUUCUCUUCUUCUUCUUCUCUUUCUUUUUCCAUCCAUCCAACUGCCUGCUCUGUGUCUCUGGUAUAACAAGACCCUGAGGAGUGUGUGUGUGUGUGUGUGUGUGUGUGCAUGUGCAGUGAUAUGGAAGGAGAAGUGCAGUGAGAAGUCAACAAUUUUGAGCGACAGCAGCUUGUAAUUUUUUCUCUUCUUAGACCACACAGAAGCUACUUGACUAUCUGUCAGCGAAUUCUCAGUCAAAACACUAGCAGUGUAGCACUAACAGUGUUAGUAUUUUGUUGAUUUUUUCAUUAAAACAGUGGGGAAAACUCAUUAAGUUUAGCACACAAAUGCAGUUGCGCUUAGCGCUCGUAGCUCCUACAGCUACAUCUGGUUAGAAACGUUUCAGUGAGAUUGUGUUGUUUCUGUUCAAUCAUAGCCAACAUGACUGCAAAUCCGUAGAAAGACAAAGGAAAAGCAUUUGUAUGAUGACAAAAUUGACUUGUGGGCUACUUUAUGUUCAAUUUGAGACAAAAUGCUGAUCGUUCCUCAAAUUUCGAUGAAUAUGAACGCUAAACCUGUGAUAUGUUGUAUAUACUGUAAUUCAUUAUUAAUUGUUGUUUAAUUUGAAGUAUAAAGUCAAUUCCAGACUCACUGUACUGUAACGUACACCUAAUGAAAGUUUAGUUUGCGUCAAACCGUAUGACAAAAACAUAUAAACCUCUAAGUUAGCCGCUAUGUAGCUAAGUGACUACACAUUUAAAUGUAGAAAAUGUGCAAAAUGUGAUGCAGAUAUGUGAUGAAACUUUAUUCAGUAGUGUACAGUCGAUGUCAUGCUGUAAUAUGAACUAGCGAGGUUGACAUGAACAAAAAGAAAAUGAACACAAACUCCGCCCCUAACCAUGUCAUCGUUUAUUACAGAUUGAUUUGUUACAACUUUUCCAGCAUAAGAUCUUUUUGGAGGAAAACUCUAAGUGUGUUUCUUUGUCUGUGUGUGUGUGUGUGUCUGUGUGUGUGUGUGUGUGUGUGAUGCUAGUCAGAGGCGUUUCUUUUCUCAUGCUAAAGUCCCAGUUUGUUCAAUUUUAACGAUGUCGUUCCUGUUCAGCCAGGGAUUGUCAGGAUGAGGUGUACCACACUGACCCUGACAUGGAAGCCCCUGCAUGUCCGUGAAUCAUCGCUAGAUCACGUGACGACUAGAACACAGCCAGGAAAGUGUACUUAGCCGCUUAGCUGCUUCUGUUAGCAUCGAUCAUUUUCCACUAAAUUAAAUCAGCAUUGCAACCAGAGGCUUUAUUUGUUCAGUGCCCGCUUGCGUGACUACAUUUGUCCGUGUGUGUGUGUGUCUGGGUGUGUGUGUGUGUGUGUGUGUGUGUGUCUGUGUGGGUGGGUGUGUGUGUGUAUUAGCAGCCAGGGCUAGUCCCCAGUGAGGUUCAUAUUAAGGCUGGACAUCGAUGUGGAAUAUUAAAUUAGCUGAACUCCGCUGAGCUUUCGGAGCAUAUGUGUCGUAGAUUUGUGGUUUUUCUGUAAGCAGAGUGUAUUUGCUUAAGACGUUUUUCAACACUGUUGUGGAACUUUGUAUUCUGAGUGAAUGAACACACACAGACACACACACACACAGCCCUGAGUGUGGUUUGCUUGGGCAGUGCUGAACUUCUUUCACAGCUCGACUAAUGUGCAAAAGCAGAAAAAAAUCAACACUUUGUCCAUAUGUGAUUUGCUCUCUCUCUCUCUCUCUCUCUCUCUCUCUCUCUCUCUCUGUGUGUGUGUGUGUGUGUGAGUGUGUGUGUGUGUGAGUGUGUGUGUGCGUGUGUGUGCCAGAGAGGCUGGGAAGUGGUUCCUCCGUAUCCUCCAUCGUUGCCAAACCCAACAGAGGAAAUGGUGCCUCAUGUGUUAGAAGCUCAGGGAAUUCCUUGAAUUGGACAUUUGAUGUCAGAAAGAGCGAUUUGUUUCUCAUUGCCAUGACCGUGGCUCACUCCUGACCUCCAGCUUUUUUGAGUGUGUGAUUCUCAGGCCUGGAUAAGCGAAUGCCGUACAAUGGCACAGCGAGCUCUCUGGCUGACUGGAUUACAUUCUCAGAAGGAACUCCCUGCGGAAACGCUGCUGAAGUGGCAUACAAAUAGAGGGUCAUUCAGCGAGGACCACGCGGGCGAUGGGACAGACGAGACUCUGAGACCUCGAUGAAUUGCAGAAAAGAGCAGCAGAGUUCCUCAGAGGCUACCUGAGAGAGAAUAGCACAGAGAACAGCUCGUUACCUGUCGAGGGAACAAUCACCGACGGUUCAAGUGUCGCUGAGAGAAACGGGCCGGUCAUGUGAAACUCCAGAGAGAGAGAGAGAGAGAGAGAGAGAGAGAGGAAAGAGGGAAAGAGAGUGAGGAAAAAUCCCAUCAGACGCCACUAUGGCUGCAUCUACUCUCUUAACAAUGACACCCAAGUGACCAGAGGUGUUAUACACACACACACACACACACACUCCACGUGCACUUUAUAAUAAUGCAUGCAUCUGUGCACUCACUCAUACAGAUAUACACUUUACCUCUCUCUUUAUCUCUCUCUCUCUCUCUCUCUCACACACACACACACACACACACACACAGACAAACACUUAUUUAUGCACACACAACACAAAGAAAGCCACAUGUAUAUGCAUCCUAUAAUAAUCCACGUGUGCAUGCACUUAUACUCAUGAAUGCAAACAUAUGUGUCAAAGAUAAAAAGUAUUGGCACCGUCACACAGCAUUUAUUUAUUGACAAAAUAACAACGACAAACUCAAAGAUAUAAUUUAAAAGUCAUUAAAUGUGUAAAUGGAAAUCGAACAUAAAUAAUUUUUAAUGAAAUAACUUUUAUUUGGCUAGUCCUGUAUG
Molecule: long non-coding RNA, 3055 nt
Organism: Pangasianodon hypophthalmus (striped catfish)
Lineage: Eukaryota; Metazoa; Chordata; Actinopteri; Siluriformes; Pangasiidae
Exons: 3
Source: RefSeq, a predicted model, not a curated record